UUUUUUUUUUUUUUUUUUUUUUGUUGAAAAUUUGGUUACCAAAGUCUAAAAUAUUAUAUUCUUAAUCCUUAAAUUUGAUUUCAAUUUACUCGUUGUGUUUCAAUUUGAUCUACGUUGCUCAAGUUUAAUUUUGAUCUGUAAUUUUCUCUAAAUGCUACUGACUUAGUGUUAACAUAGAAUUAUAAUUAAUUACAUUCUAUCAACUAUUUUAGUUGACUUAAAUGGUUGUUGGGUGAAUGAAAAAUAAAAUCACAAGAGCUUAUACUAUUGCAAAAAUGUUUGGAAGCUAUUAGCAAAUGGUAUCAAAGUCAUUCUCCCAUCUUAUCACCUUGGACAGAAUCCUCAACAAUCCAAAGAAGUGGUGAGCCUCAGAAAACUAAUAAUCAUUGUGUGAUGUGGUCGAGCUCCAUCAUAUAGGCAAUGUGCUCCAAUAAAAGGAGUUAACAUAGAUGAGAGUAGGAAAAUGAUUAAAUAAAAUAAACUAACAUAUGUAUUUAGGUGAUAAGUACUAUAUAAUAAACCCACAAGAGUGUAUAUCUUUGUCAAGGGUUAGGGUUAUCUCUAUAAAUGUCUUCACCUUUUAACUUAGACUAUGCUCGUCUCGACAAAUAUUAUAGAGGGGGUUUGAUCACAUAUUUUCAAGUAGCAUCGAUCCCCUUUUUUCCUUUUAAGUUGUCUUUCUUAUAAAAGUAUAUAAACAAAAAGUUGAUAUUUGAUAUUGUUUUUUAAUGAACAAUUCGCAAAUCUUGAUUGCAGAUGUUGCUCAACAUGUGGAAAAGUGCUUGCACAAAGUUCUACCGCCAAAUCACCGAACUUAAAGCUCAUAAAAAAAAAAUUUAAAAGAAACUUCAUUUCUCAUCAGAAGAAAAUUAGGAAAGAACUUCUUAAAUUAGCACAACUCUCUAAUACGACUUAGAUUUUCAUUUCCCAAUUCAACCACAUUUCCAAAUAAUUAUCUUUAUUCAUUUGUUUAUUUUUUCUUAUCGUCAUCCUUUAGCAAUUCAUUCUCGGAAGGAAAAUGGAAAGUAGUAUGUGAAUGUGUACUCAGAUGGCCACAAUUAGGCUUUAUGAAGAAGGUAAAUAAAUAAAUAUUAAUUGAAGUUCAAAGCUCUAUUUUCUCAGAUUUCAUGGAUUAAUCUUUAAAAGAGGUGAAAACAAUUAUGAUAUAUGUAAUGAAGCAAUCAUCUAUUAGUAGGAUACUUUUUUUAUGUUCAAUGCAAGCAAAAUUUUAAGAAACAAAGUGCACAAUAUCAAAGUAUUGUGAAGAUAUGUAUGUGGUUGAUUGUCUAUAUCAAAAAUUGAGAGGGGGAAAGAAAUGUGAAAUAAGUGAUUAAAUUAAAAAAUGUUUAAUGGAGCUCGAAAAAGUUCACUAAAUAUUAUCAUUUAGAGAAAGUAUAUCAAGGAAUCAUCAAGUGUGUAUAGGGUUUAUUUUUUAAUUUGUGGGUUGAUUUUUUUUUCUUUUGCUAUUUUUGCAAAACUAAAAACUUUGAGCUAUUGGCCUAAUAUUGAUAACUUAUUUUGCUGAUUUGGGAACAAAUCCAACUUUUUAAAAGUUAAAAGACUAAAGUAAAGUAUAGUGUUUUGAAACUUAGAAACCAAUGAAAAGUUGUUAUUAAAUUUAGUGACAAAAGUUGUAUUUAAUUUGUAUUUUUUUUAAAAUGUCAAUAAAUCUUAACAUACAAACCAUAACAUUGACGCUCAAAAUUGUUACUAAAAUAAACCUAAAAUGUAUGCUCAUAAAUUCCUUCAAGAGUCAAAUCAACAUCAAAUUAUUGGGGUGAUUAAGAUUUCUUAAAAGAAAGGAAGAAAAAAGGGGUUUGUGUCAUGAAGAGAACCAUUAAAUGUGAAUAAAAAAUGAUUGUCAUGGUGACAUUAAAUGAUGAAAUAGAUAUUACAUUAUUGACAAAUGGAUUAGGUAACAAGCCAAAUCCCUUAUCAUAUUGUCUAUCCCUUUAAUUCAUUUAUUCUACUUUGACUUCCUACAUACUCUCACUUCUAUUAUGGCCCAUUUGUUUAGUUUUAGGGUUGAAUUGCAAAAAUUACCACUAAAAUAUAUGUAAUUAUAUUACUAAACUAUCAAAAUUAAAAGUAAGCUAUUAAAUUUAUUCAAAAUUUAAAAUUAGGUAAUCAAACAGCUUCCACAAUUGUAUGGUUUAUAUAAGUUUGAUGGUUCAAUUUUUAAGACUCGAGGAUCUAAUUUUAAUAUUUUUAGAAGUUUAGGCGUCCAAUUAUAAAAACUAUAGUAAAGAAUAAAAAAAUGAUGAAUAUCAAAUAUAACUAAUUGGAGACUUUUAAAUAGUGUUUACGGUAGCAAGAGAUAUGUCUAUUAUAUUUGUAGUAAGAGAUGAUUUUUUUCUCCUCUCCAUUGAGAGCCGGGAAGGAGUCCAUCUAUAUGCUCGAAAGCAUAAUCGCAAACUUAAGAGUAGUGAGAAGCAAUUAGAAUGAGAACCUCAUCUCCCACUAAACUCUACUGAAUCAAAGUUACUGAUCACAACCACAAAACAAUAGUCAAAACAAAUCAUAAACCAUAUGUCAUCCAUCUUCAGUGGGACGGAAUGUUGAACCCCUACCCAAAAGCAACACUAUCUAGUGAACUUCAUAAAGCAAAGCCCUUAUUAAUGACUAAACGCUCGAAACAACUAGAAUAAAUUAGACUUCUUACUUAUUAGAUAGACAUUAACGACUUAGGUCUAUCUUCUACUCUAGACCUAAGAUAUAAAUUGAAAAUUUGAGACAUCAUGUGCCACACGUACAAUAUUAAUUAAAUCUACACAGUUCUUCUCAUUAUGAGAUAAUACUCUAUCGAAAAUCUCUUCUCCCAUACUUAAAACUGAAGCUAAUUGAGAUCUUUUACUUUUAGCUGAGACUCAUUUCCUAUUUGUCUCUAAGACACUUGUUAAAGAAUUUAGUGGUCUAGAGUAGACACCACAAAAAUGUAGUAAUUGAAAGCAUGAAUAAGAGAACAUACAAUAAUAGAAUCUAACUCAAAAAUAAAAUUGUUAUAUUUUGAAACUUAAAACAAAAUUGAAAUGAAUUAAAUAAAAACUAACAACAGAUUGAAAAGAUAUUUUCUCCUAAAAAUUUAUCUACUAAUGGAAUCUGAAAAAGUCAACAAAACGUAUUGACCUCGUCGGCGACUAACCUCAGGCGGCGGUGAGAUAAAAAAAGAAAGAAAAGAAGAUAAGAACAUACGGCGGCGUCUCUAUCGGGAACAGAGUGGCAAUUUCGGUUAAUAAGGGGAAGUGGAAGGGUAUUUUUGUUGAUGUAGAGAGAGAAAGUCGUCUCUCUCAUCUCCGCCUGCAGCUGAGUUUUUUUCUGGUGGGUCAUAUCUAUUUCUAAGCUCUCUUUGUCUUCUUCUUCAUCUUCCCAAAAUCAACAAACCCACGCAAAUUCCAAAUUUAGGGAUUGGGAUUUGGAAUAUUAAAAAUUUCCCAAUCCAAUUAUUACUUUUCCAAGUAAUUUCUGUUUGAAUGUUGAUUACUAUACGAUCCUCCGUCAGGUGGAUUUCCGCUUCUUUUUUGAUUUAAGUUGAUGGGUAAUGCCAAUGGUAGGGAGCAGAGUACUCCCGGAGCACCACCUGCCGGAGGAAGACCUGACGUCGAUGAGCAAAGUCCGGCAAUUACUUCGGAAACCAGUGAAACUAGUAACGUUGUUUCUUCAGAUUCGAUGGGAAAUACUCCUCCUCAAAGCCCUGGGAAGUUCCGAUCCCCGAUCUUGUUCGCUCCCCAGGUCAAUAUUUCGUUCUUUUCCCGCUAAUCUUUAUCUCUUGUGAACUGGGUUUGUGUCAAUUUAUGUUCUUUUUGCUUUUCAUGCUGAUGUUUUUUGGUUGUUCGUGGGAUUUGAUUCAUUCAAUGAUACGUCGUUUUGUUAUUGGGUUUUAUUGUUUGGUUGAGGUUGGGUUUCCCGGGGAAUUUCUUUACUAAGAUCGCUGUAUUGCAAUGGUUGUAAAUGGGGAAAGUUCCAGCCAAGAUCCACUUAAUUGACUACUUGAACUAAUAUUGACUUCCAGCAAUUUUAAAUAAUGUUAAUUGUUAAUUAUUAUUAUUUAUUUUUACUUUUGAUCAUUUUCUUAAUGCUGUGCUCUUUGGAUAUGAAUGGCUGAAAUGUGGAGAUGAAUGGCUGAAAUGUCUGUUGUUGGAUUUGACUUCUCUGAUCAACUACAGUUUGUAUAUGAAAAGCUGGGAUUUCUCUCUUAAUCUCGAUCCCCUUUGAACUUUUGAUUAAUCUAUUAGAGUUGUUUGGUUUUUAGAAUCAAGUAUGUUGUGGAGCUGAGUGUUUCUUCUUUAUCGGUUGAAGGACUGAUGGCGUACUCAUCGAUGUAAUGGGUGAUGAGUAAAAACUUGUAGAUCCGGAUUUGAUCUUACUUAGCAAAUAUUUUGGCUAGAUUGUAAGGUCGAAUUUGACUUUCUUGCUGUUUGAGAUGAACCCAAUGUGAAUUUGUAUGAUGUUUAGCCUUGGUUAUGCCUUUUGAAAUGAUGGUGGGCAUGUGUUACAAGACUUGCAGAUUCCAGUGGCUCCCUUGCAAGGAGGUAAUGGUCCAACCCAUUACAGUGGAGCCUGGCAGAACGAAUUCGAGGGAGCUGUAGAUAGUCCUCCAGAGCAAGGAGUCCCGACAAUCAUCACAUGGAGCUUUGGAGGCAAUAAUGUUGCCGUUGAGGGGUCUUGGGAUAACUGGGCUUCCAGGUUAUUUUUUAUCCUUCUCCAGGCUGCUAUUGUCAAUCCGUGAUUUGUUCAAGCCUCAUGCUUCACGACAUUAGAUCUACUGCAUUUUGCAUAAAUAAUGAAAUAUUAUGCUACAUUGGUUCUGCAGGAAAACCCUGCAGAGGACUGGCAAAGAUUUUUCGCUACUUAUGGUCCUUCCAUCUGGAGUAUAUCAUUAUAAGUUCAUCGUCGAUGGUCAACGAAGAUAUAUUCCAGAUCUUCCUUUCAUAGCUGAUGAGAUGGGCAAUGUCUUUAAUCUUCUCAAUGUUUCUGUAAGUGUGAUUCUUCCCUCCAUCUGCAUUACCAUCCAAUCAGCAUGAACUUGAUCUUGACUCAUUGUUUGUAUAAAAAAUUUAUUCGGCUAUGUGUAAAAAUAGAAACUAUCACAUAGGUGCAAAAAUACUUGCUUGAUUCCAUGUCGACAUAUCACUAGAAGGAUAAAUGCCUGAAGAGAUUCCAUAGUAGUUCACGGCUUCUCAAUUUUAUAACUACAACCUUAAUAAUCCAUGAUGAAUUGUUCAAAAAAGAACCGAUCAAAGAUUGUUUAAGCUCAUUCAUUUUCACACUAUUGGUAUUACUCUCGUAUGUUUGAUGUAGAGAGAUCAUAGUUUUAAACCUGGAAAAGGACUAAAGAAAAGAAUGAGGAUAGCUCUCCACUCCCCAAGUCAGUAAAGUUAGGUAGAAACUCAGAAAGCCAAAACAGCCUUAAUGUCUUACGUUAUGGCAAUAUAAAUUCUAAAAUAAAAGAGGAAAAACUGUGGCAGUGUCACCACUAAAAGAGAAAAAGAGAGAACAAAGGAGAGAAACAGCCGCAUGUCUUACAAACCGGUUGGCUGGUCUGAAUGAUGCCAAAAUCUCCUAUAACAAAUCCUUUUCUUUUCCUUUUUGAACACUUCUGAACACCAACGUAAUUAACAUAAGAUUUUUCUGAUAAGGAACGUGAUUAAAACAAGUUCUUUGUUUAUUUUAUUAAAAAAAAGGUUCUUUGUUUAUUUAAUAUCAGAAACGUGAUUUACUCAAGUGCUUGAGAGUUUUGUCUUCAUCCUCUAUGUAGCAACUGUAGACAUUCAGAAAUUAUUUCCUUUAUCCUGUCAUGCUUUUUGAAUGUGUUACUUGUAAAUAACUACUCUUGCACCUGUUUGAUUCUUUUGGGGAGCUUAGUUUUAUCAUUUUUGGAGGAAAAGAACAAAUUUAUAUCAUCAGGUUGAUCAGAAAAUUAUAGGAGAAUUGGGAAAGGUGCCUACACAAUAGAUUAUCCUGGCUCUCUUGUUCUUUCUUUUCAAUUUGUGCAAUGAGACACGUUCAUCAUGUUUCACAAUUAUUUCAUCUUCUUGCUUGCCAUGAGCGUGUUAAGAUACUACCUUCACGAUUUAUAUAAUAAUAAUGAGAUAAGAAGGUUUAAGUAGUAGGUAUUACAGCAUGAGCAUUCCCACCGAUUCAAGAUGGGGAUGCUCCCAAGUCUUAUACUCGCAACUUAACAAAACAACCAAUAACCUGAAAUACAACAAAAAUUGCUACCUAAUCACAAACCCCAACUUAUUAGCGGGUGAAUUUCCUUUGCCCCUUCUAACAUAAACAUUGGGUAUUUGGAGGGGUCCCAUAAAGUGUACAUUUUGUCCAUUGAUUGUUCUAUUGAAGUAUAUUCAAAAGAUACAAGGAGAAUAUCAAAAUAUGUUGAGUAAAAUAGUUAUUCAUGUGCUCAACCCUAAUGAGCAUUUGAGCUAUUAAGGGAUAUAUCUAUAUAUAUAUAUAGAACAUGAGCACACAUACACAUAACACACGUGCGCAUAAUAGGAUAGGAGGCUGUAGUCUUCUCAUUCAUGGUUCUGGUGUGCAUUUAUUGCCUGUGUUCAUACUACUGUCCAUCACCAUAACUUGGUAACUCUCUGGAACAAAAAGAAACCAUAUACUUUUCCCAUGAAAUUCUAUUGUAAUCAUUUUGUUAUAAUUCUGAAUGUACACUGAGAAUGAGAAGUUUCUUGUCAGCAUUGAAGAGAAAGAUUCAUUACUUCAAUUAACUAGUGUAGUGCUGAAGACAAACUGACUUUAUGCGUUUCAUCUUCACUUUUCAUUUUGGAGUUGUUUCCAUUCUGUAGGAUAGUGUGCCUGAUAUUCUACAGAGUGUGGCCGAGUUUGAGCCUCCACAAUCACCAGAGACAACUUACAGCCAGACAUUCCCCACCGAGGAAGACUUCGCCAAGGAGCCAGCAGCCGUACCAUCGCAGCUCCACCUCACGGUUCUCGGCAUGGAGAACGCAGAUGAAGCUUCAUCCUCAAAACCUCAACACGUUGUGCUUAACCACCUUUUUAUAGAGAAAGGAUGGGCUUCUCAGUCUGUGGUUGCUUUGGGACUUACUCAUAGGUUCCAUUCAAAAUAUGUCACCGUCGUCCUCUACAAACCGCUCAACAGGUAGUUAUUGUCGAUUUUUCUCACUGAACGUUGUAAAGGAUCACGAGCUACUACACCCUCCAUCGUCUGUGGAGGAAUGUUGUUUUAUAGAACUGCCUUUUGGCGAAAGUUUGCUAGCAACAAAAUAACUCUUAUUCUGAUCAAUAUUUCUUCAAUCUGUGAAGAAAUGUCUGUUUCAUAGAACUGCUUGGCCAAAAAAGUUAUAUUACCUUUUCUCUAAUUGUGUCAAUAGCUAGUAGGUUUUGAUAGAUCUAAGUGGGGAAGUCUUGGUCUAAGCCUACGUCUUGCUCAGUUUUAGCAUUCUCGUGUGCUACGUUCGACAAAUUAUUUUGGUUCCUGAUUUUAGAUUGGAUUAUUAAAUAAUUUUGGUCUUGGAUGUUUAAUUAUCCAAGAUCACUCCCAACUUUGGAAUAACUUCCCUUUAGAAAAGAAUGGAUGUUUGUAGACUUUGAACAUCUUAGGUGAGAAAUUGAUCGAACACUUUACACAAUACAAAUACAAAUGAUAUCAUUUGUAAGUAGGUUUGGCAACAGGCUACAGUCAAGGGCAUUCCCAUCCUUGCCACUACAUAAGGAAAUAAUCUCAAUCCAUCUAUCCAUCACCGACAUAAUUAAUAUAAGUUCUCAUCCUUUCUCUAAACUUUAUGCUCUUUACUUGAUAUAUAUAUAUAUAUAUAUAUCUUCAAGUCUUCUCUGGAUUUUAUCUUUUUUAGAUCAAUUUCUUUUAUGGAAAAUCUUUUAUUUGCAAUUUUUUUAUUGUAUUAAAGAAAAACAAUACUAUUUAAACUAGGCUCAAGCCUUCGUAUUUUCUUAGUGAAAAAAAAAAAAGAAACUUUCAUGAAAACAUGCAUAAAAUUUAAAACAAAAACACACCCAAUGAUAAAAUUUCACAAAGUAACAAUAAUUACUAAGAGGACUAAAAGGGAAAAUGUUUCUUUACAUAUCAUUCUUUUAACUAAUAUUUUCUAUUGUAUACAGAAUAUAACAUAAUCAUAAAAUAGAACCUUGGUCUAAAGAGGGCUGAAGCACAUUUAUACCAUUAACUAACAAUUCCUAUUGGAAUUAUCUCGGUUCUUUUAUAUAUAUAUAUAUUAUAUAAAGAGCAUAAAAUUAAGGAGACUCAGGUCAUAUUACAUCCGCUAAUAAGAUUUAUUGUCAACCCUAUAUUUAACUUAAUUUCUCUAAACAGUGCUAUAUAAGAACAAAAAAAAUUAUUACCAUUCAAUUUCCUUUUCUUUUUCGAAGGGUUAACACCUCUAUAUCGUUUUCACAAAUAAAUUGUUAUUUUAAACGUAUUAGAUAGAAUAGCCUACUAAUACUUAAAACUACUUAUCAAGUCUAUCAAACUUGUUCUAGUUUCUUUUCCUCUUUUUUCUUUCUCCUUUUAAAAAGCAAGUUUAUGAGUGUUGAAAAAUCACUAAAACUUUCAUUAAAAAAAAGUUCGAACUUGUUCAAGGUUAUAUGUUGAAGUUAGAUAGGUAAAAAAGGGCACAACACUACUAAAAUCUAGAAGGUUAACUUUGAACGAUGAAUUUAAUUCAAGAUAACUCUUCUCUCAACUUUUCUUGUUAAAAGGAAAUAAUGACACAAGUGGUAAGGUUUUCUAAACUCAUAUAUAUUUUUAUAUAAUUUAACCUUCAAAUGUAACAAAGAACCAACUAUAUAAAAUAAUAAACAUUAUAACGUAUUAAUAAUUGAUACAUACAUAAAAAUGGUGUGCUUAACAUUGGGGAAGGUCCGUACCCACAAAACAUUUUCUUCAAAUUAUUUAUCUUAUUUAAUUUAAGAAUGAUUUAAAAGAAAAAUAUUUUUGAAAAUUUUAUUUUCAUUUACACAUACACGUCUUGAUAGAGGUUUAUGGUUAAACAAUCAAAUUCGAUUUUCCAUUUACUUUAAUCACUUGAAAAUAUAUUCAAAAUACACCCUCCUAAAUACAUACAUACAGUUUGCUCGACUAAUCGGUUAGUUUUAAAGGAUUAAAAACACAUUUCGAGUGUCCUCGUUCCGAAAUAAGAAGAAAAAAUUCAGCGAAAUCAAGUGAAGAAAUAUGGAUUUAUUAAGCAAAGUCAGCAGCGAAAAGAAAUAAUAACAUAGGCAUUACAAAUUACAAUACAAUGGAAGAAAUCUCCAUCUCCAGCAGUAUUAAUAAAACAUUCAUGAGUGAUGUUGAGGAGCCAAAAGGCCAAUGGAUUCAUUGGAAAUGUACUUGAAAUUGAUAUUGCGAAACACAAAAAAGAGAAGAGAAAAGAAAAUACCAAAUAUUGAUAAUAGAAGGAGGACUCCACUAUCUCUAAAUCUACUCAAGAAGAAGAAAAGAGAAGAUGAAAAACAGCAAACCAAUAACAGAAAAUACAGUACCAUAAAUUAUGCAAACAAAGAGAGUAAGAUAACAGAAAGAACCAACAACUAAAGCUAAUAACACCCAAAAGAAAAGAAGGGGUUUCUCCUACAGAUAGAAUUGCCCCAUUAACAAAGGGAUCCUCUCUCUCCUUUUUCGGUUUCUUAGCUUUC
Molecule: long non-coding RNA, 9621 nt
Filed under: Cucumis sativus (cucumber)
Lineage: Eukaryota; Viridiplantae; Streptophyta; Magnoliopsida; Cucurbitales; Cucurbitaceae
Description: long non-coding RNA (CSAT_LNC000410)
Source: RNAcentral